AGAACGAACGCUGGCGGCAUGCCUAAUACAUGCAAGUCGAACGAACUCUUCGGAGUUAGUGGCGCACGGGUGCGUAACGCGUGGGAAUCUGCCCCUUGGUUCGGAAUAACAGUUGGAAACGACUGCUAAUACCGGAUGACGACGAAAGUCCAAAGAUUUAUCGCCAAGGGAUGAGCCCGCGUAGGAUUAGCUAGUUGGUGAGGUAAAGGCUCACCAAGGCAACGAUCCUUAGCUGGUCUGAGAGGAUGAUCAGCCACACUGGGACUGAGACACGGCCCAGACUCCUACGGGAGCAGCAGUAGGGAUAUUGGACAAUGGG
This 319-nucleotide ribosomal RNA is filed under the name uncultured soil bacterium. RNAcentral's name for it is "bacterial SSU rRNA". It matches the Rfam family "Bacterial small subunit ribosomal RNA", at positions 26 to 375 of the family's 1533-position model. The record is from RNAcentral.